Long non-coding RNA from Sapajus apella (tufted capuchin), 1255 nucleotides. RefSeq lists it as uncharacterized. Lineage: Eukaryota; Metazoa; Chordata; Mammalia; Primates; Cebidae. The transcript has 3 exons. The record is from RefSeq and is a predicted model, not a curated record.
GGGAGAGCAUUUGCCGCAAGUCAGGUGGAGGCAGCUGGAGUCGUGAGGACAGAGGGAGACAAGACUGAAGGACAACGCUCGGGCUCCACCAGGUUGUGACUUGUUAUGCCUCAAGACAAAAUGGAUUUCAAGCAAAUAUGGCCACAUGUUAAGGCUUCACAAGGCUGGGAAGUGGGAGCGUUGGAGCGUUAUAUUAUUUUCUAUAAUUUUCUGGAUGCUUGAAAUAUUUUACAAAUUGUAAGCACACAGCUUAGACAACGGGAGGGAAGAACCGUGUGUCGGCACCUAGACUUGUGAACGGUGGCUCUCCUGCAUCCUCCUCCCCGUUCCAAGAGGAGGCACGAGAGGCCAGUGAUGAUGUGACACUAAAAGUCCCCCGGCCCCUCUCAGGUCUCCGUUUUCCUUCCCCUUCCUUCAGUUUCAAAGAGGCAUUUUCAUCUCCUGGCUGAGCGGGGAAUGAGUGCAGGAACCAUGCAUCCCAGCUGAGACACUGGCAGCCGGACACUCAACCCAAAGGUGGUCAGAACCUUUCCCCGGGAAAUUCAGACCUGGAUGGCAGGAGACCUAGACAGCAGGCAAGGGGACAGAGAGGGAGCAGGCGCCAGCAUGCCGACUGUGCUGGGGUCACGUUCAGUGUGGCCAGAUGUCAUGGAAGGUCGGAGGCUUCUGCUCCUGGGGUCUGGGGCUGCCCUGACCCCUGCCCUUCAUCCCUCCUGGGGAUCCAGGAGAGCCCCUCCUUGCAAGGGCCUCCUCUCCCCUCACUUUCCACGCUGCGCUGGUGCCACAGGGAGUCUGUUUCUUGCAAGUCAAGGCCCCCGGCCAAGUCUGACAUUGACAAUAAGCAGGACUAGUGGAGGCAGUGCCGUGUCGCCUUUCCCAGCUCGGGCCUGGCCCAUGUUGGGAGGGCUGCAAGGGAACACUCCUGGGAAGGAUGGCGCUGGCUCUCAUGAGAGGUCCGUGCAACCCAAGUGGAGUGGGGAGAACGUGGGGAGAUAAGAAAUGAGGAAGGCCAGCCCCUCUGCUCAUACUUAUAACCCCAACACUUUGGGAGGCUGGGAUUACAGGUGGAGCCCUUGAGCCUAGGAGUUCAAGACCCACCUGGGCAAGUGAAACCUCAUCCUUACAAUAAAAAAUUCAAAAGAGAAACACAGGAGGAGAAGGGCUGGCGUCUGAGUGCUCCUGAAGAAGGAAGGAUUCAUCCCUGGGGAGGAGGAACCAGGGCCUCUGUGAAUCUCAGGGGAAGGAAGACGGGGCC